UACAGAGGUGGCAAGCGUUGUUCGGAAUUACUGGGCGUAAAGGGCGCGUAGGUGGCCAACUAAGUCAGACGUGAAAUCCCCAGGCUCAACUUGGGAACUGCGUCUGAUACUGGAUGGCUUGAAUUCGGGAGAGGGAUGCAGAAUUCCAGGUGUAGCGGUGAAAUGCGUAGAUAUCUGGAGGAAUACCGGUGGCGAAGGCGGCAUCCUGGACCGAUAUUGACACUGAGGAGCGAAAGCCAGGGGAGCAAACGGG
RNAcentral lists this ribosomal RNA (253 nucleotides) under uncultured bacterium. RNAcentral describes it as "partial 16S ribosomal RNA". It matches the Rfam family "Bacterial small subunit ribosomal RNA", at positions 524 to 776 of the family's 1533-position model. The record is from RNAcentral.